GACGAACGCUGGCGGCGUGCUUAACACAUGCAGGUCGAACGGAAAGGCCCUGCUUGCAGGGUACUCGAGUGGCGAACGGGUGAGUAACACGUGGGUGAUCUGCCCUGCACUUCGGGAUAAGCUUGGGAAACUGGGUCUAAUACCGGAUAGGAGCCAUCUUUAGUGUGGUGGUUGGAAAGUUUUUUCGGUGUAGGAUGAGCUCGCGGCCUAUCAGCUUGUUGGUGGGGUAAUGGCCUACCAAGGCGGCGACGGGUAGCCGGCCUGAGAGGGUGUACGGCCACAUUGGGACUGAGAUACGGCCCAGACUCCUACGGGAGGCAGCAGUGGGGAAUAUUGCACAAUGGGCGCAAGCCUGAUGCAGCGACGCCGCGUGGGGGAUGAAGGCCUUCGGGUUGUAAACUCCUUUCGCUAGGGACGAAGCUUUUUUGUGACGGUACCUAGAUAAGAAGCACCGGCUAACUACGUG
RNAcentral lists this ribosomal RNA (466 nucleotides) under uncultured bacterium. RNAcentral's name for it is "partial 16S ribosomal RNA". It matches the Rfam family "Bacterial small subunit ribosomal RNA", at positions 28 to 507 of the family's 1533-position model. The record is from RNAcentral.